This is a non-coding RNA of Trametes elegans, 95 nucleotides long. Lineage: Eukaryota; Fungi; Basidiomycota; Agaricomycetes; Polyporales; Polyporaceae. The record is from the annotation of a GenBank genome assembly.
GGCCGACUAGCUCAGUUGGUUAGAGCGUGGUGCUAAUAUUGGUGUAUCUUCACCGGGUAACGCCAAGGUCGUCGGUUCGACCCCGGCGUUGGCCA